AAUCUUUUACUGGCAAGCAAAAGGUACUGAGCUGAAUCUCUCUACUCGUCUUUGUUCUUGAUACUGAGCCGAGUCUAUAUGUCUUGCAAACUUCAAUAUGCAAAGUUGUGCUUCUACUGGAAGUUCUACGCGGCAAUACCUGUUUUCUUGCACAUUUAUCCACACUUUAAGGGGAAACUGUAUUAAGUUAAUUAGUUUUCUUACAAACAUUACCUUUAUGCUCCUGGAAUAUUUGCUUUGGCCGGCCAUGACUAGGACAAAUCACUCUAAAUGAUGGAAAUUACAUUUGAGUUGCAUGGCAUUAUGUUAAUUAGUAGCAUGAAGGUAAAUAAACAUUUGACAGAAGAAAAAUAAUGAGCUGAAGUGCCUUCUUGAACUAGAACAAAUUUGUACUCCUUUUUUGUCAUUGUCUAAUUUAAACUAAUUAUCUUGGCAGGCACUUGACUUGGUUCCAGAGA
This 458-nucleotide unclassified non-coding RNA is filed under the name Hevea brasiliensis (rubber tree). The record is from RNAcentral. Lineage: Eukaryota; Viridiplantae; Streptophyta; Magnoliopsida; Malpighiales; Euphorbiaceae.